Molecule: ribosomal RNA, 503 nt
Filed under: uncultured bacterium
Lineage: Bacteria
Description: partial 16S ribosomal RNA
Rfam family: Bacterial small subunit ribosomal RNA
Source: RNAcentral
AUUGAACGCUGGCGGCAGGCUUAACACAUGCAAGUCGAGCGGAGUGAUGGUGCUUGCACUAUCACUUAGCGGCGGACGGGUGAGUAAUGCUUAGGAAUCUGCCUAUUAGUGGGGGACAACAUCUCGAAAGGGCUGCUAAUACCGCAUACGUCCUACGGGAGAAAGCAGGGGAUCACUUGUGACCUUGCGCUAAUAGAUGAGCCUAAGUCGGAUUAGCGAGUUGGUGGGGUAAAGGCCUACCAAGGCGACGAUCUGUAGCGGGUCUGAGAGGAUGAUCCGCCACACUGGGACUGAGACACGGCCCAGACUCCUACGGGAGGCAGCAGUGGGGAAUAUUGGACAAUGGGGGGAACCCUGAUCCAGCCAUGCCGCGUGUGUGAAGAAGGCCUUAUGGUUGUAAAGCACUUUAAGCGAGGAGGAGGCUCUUUUGGUUAAUACCCAAGAUGAGUGGACGUUACUCGCAGAAUAAGCACCGGCUAACUCUGUGCCAGCCGCCGCAGUAA